CACGUAGUUGGCCGGUGCUUCUUCUGUGCCUACCGUCACUUGCGCUUCGUCGGCACUGAAAGAGGUUUACAACCCGAAGGCCGUCAUCCCUCACGCGGCGUCGCUGCAUCAGGCUUCCGCCCAUUGUGCAAUAUUCCCCACUGCUGCCUCCCGUAGGAGUCUGGGCCGUAUCUCAGUCCCAGUGUGGCCGGACACCCUCUCAGGCCGGCUACCCGUCGUCGCCUUGGUAGGCCAUCACCCCACCAACAAGCUGAUAGGCCGCGGGCCCAUCCCACACCGCAAAAGCUUUCCCUCCCAGACCAUGCGGCCAGAAGGGUAUAUCCGGUAUUAGACCCAGUUUCCCAGGCUUAUCCCAGAGUGCAGGGCAGGUCACCCACGUGUUACUCACCCGUUCGCCACUCGAGUACCCCCGAAGGGGCCUUUCCGUUCGACUUGCAUGUGUUAAGCACGCCGCCAGCGUCGUCCGUCGUAGCCGACGGAGUCAAACUAC
This 490-nucleotide ribosomal RNA is filed under the name uncultured Mycobacterium sp. RNAcentral's name for it is "partial 16S ribosomal RNA". The record is from RNAcentral. Lineage: Bacteria; Bacillati; Actinomycetota; Actinomycetes; Mycobacteriales; Mycobacteriaceae.